This 733-nucleotide long non-coding RNA is filed under the name Panax ginseng (ginseng). Its description in RNAcentral is "long non-coding RNA (PGIN_LNC005967)". The record is from RNAcentral. Lineage: Eukaryota; Viridiplantae; Streptophyta; Magnoliopsida; Apiales; Araliaceae.
UCCAGUUCAAACAGUUAAUUAACUAUAUUGACAAGUCUAAGUAACCGGAUACCAUAAUAUUUGAUCUAAAAGGAAGGGGACAUGCACAUGAGCAUGAGCAUGAGCAACAGCAAGAGAAAGAGAGAUUACAAAAGACUCACAAAAACUAAUGAAACAUAUAAAAGGCAGCUAAUUAAUUAAGGAAAAUGAUAUUUUUACGUGAUCGAUCUUCCAUAUAUCUUAUAAGUAUAGCUAGCUAGGUGCUAGCUUGGCCUAGUGAUCUAGUCUAGUAUAGUCUACCUAGCCGGUUCCGGUGACACCUAAGUCUUGCUUGUCAUCCUCAUCAUCAUCUUUGCCGGCGCCGAAAACAGGGCCACCUUUGCCGGCGGCAUCCUCGACUUUGUCCUGAAGUUUAUCAACCUGAAUCCCUCCGACAUCUUCCUGCGAGUAAAUAUUGGUUUUAGUCUUGUUCUCUCCGCCCUCCACCGACUCAUAUGUCGUCGGCGUGACCGAUUCCUUCGGCUGCGCUCCUUGUGCCCCUGACAUAUAUAUAUAUAUAUAUAUCCUUAUUUCAAUUUAUUUUUCCUAAUUAAUUCAAAGAAAACCCUUUUUCCUUUGUAGGUAAUAGGGUAGCAGCUAGCUCUCUCUCGACCGUUCUACUAUCGGUUAACAUAACUAAUUUAUAGUACGGUGACACAUACGUUUCUAUUUUCGGUCACUAUACGUGGCAGCCAUGCAUGAUCAUGAGUAAUAG